UAGGGAAUCUUCGGCAAUGGGGGGAACCCUGACCGAGCAACGCCGCAUGAGUGAAGAAGGUUUUCGGAUCGUAAAGCUCUGUUGUUAAGGAAGAACGAGUGUGAGAAUGGAAAGUUCAUGCUGUGACGGUACUUAACCAGAAAGGGACGGCUAACUACGUGCCAGCAGCCGCGGUAAUACGUAGGUCCCGAGCGUUGUCCGGAUUUAUUGGGCGUAAAGCGAGCGCAGGCGGUUAGAAAAGUCUGAAGUGAAAGGCAGUGGCUCAACCAUUGUAGGCUUUGGAAACUGUUUAACUUGAGUGCAGAAGGGGAGAGUGGAAUUCCAUGUGUAGCGGUGAAAUGCGUAGAUAUAUGGAGGAACACCGGUGGCGAAAGCGGCUCUCUGGUCUGUAACUGACGCUGAGGCUCGAAAGCGUGGGGAGCGAACAGG
Molecule: ribosomal RNA, 429 nt
Filed under: Verrucomicrobiota bacterium
Lineage: Bacteria; Pseudomonadati; Verrucomicrobiota
Description: Verrucomicrobia bacterium partial 16S ribosomal RNA
Rfam family: Bacterial small subunit ribosomal RNA
Source: RNAcentral